Amaranthus tricolor (Joseph's coat) is the source of this 98-nucleotide small nucleolar RNA. RefSeq annotates it as small nucleolar RNA Z43. Lineage: Eukaryota; Viridiplantae; Streptophyta; Magnoliopsida; Caryophyllales; Amaranthaceae. The transcript has a single exon. The record is from RefSeq and is a predicted model, not a curated record.
GGACGAUGAAGAAAUUAUGUAAGGUCUCGUUCAUCGUAAGUGCGAUUUUCUUCGCCUUGCCGACCAUUCUGUUAUAUCACCACCCAUAAACAGAGUCC